GAGGGUAUAGCUCAAGUGGUAGAGUGUCAUGCUUAGCAUGCACAGGGUCUUGGGUUCAAUCCCCAGUACCUCCU
Molecule: transfer RNA, 74 nt
Organism: Camelus ferus (Wild Bactrian camel)
Lineage: Eukaryota; Metazoa; Chordata; Mammalia; Artiodactyla; Camelidae
Rfam family: tRNA
About the family: Transfer RNA (tRNA) molecules are approximately 80 nucleotides in length.
Source: Rfam